AACAUUAAAAAAUGCAAUUGACAGACACUUGUAUGACUUACAAAGUUAUUUUUGAUAGUCUUAACAUUACUUGAAUUAUUCAAAAUAACAGUAUAUUUUAAAUUAAGAAAGGUAAAUAUAUUAUUUGUUUGAUACAUUAAGACUGAGACUAACAAUGCUCUUGUUUAUGAUUUGAAAAGUUUUCAGGCAAAUCCAACUUAGUGUUUUUCCUUUCCCUAGCAAUUUUCCAGUGUCAACUCUUAGUUGCUAGUAAUUUUUUUACCUUAAAAAUGAAGUAAUUCGCAACUUUUGAGCAUAUGACGGAGAAUGCAAAAGUAGUCAGACAGCUUUAAUUGAUAUUGUGGAGACCUCCGGUUAUCAGGAAUACAUUUUUUUACUGCCUUAACCUCCUGUAGUGAGUAGAAUAUGCAUCAGUUUCUUGAAGGGGAUUCGUGUUUUUAUAAGAAUUUUCAUGUAACUAUUGCAAUUGUGGUUAAAAACAGAAAGGAACAUUUUCUGCUUGAAACUGUGUUGAUUUGAAUGACGUAUGAUCUGUCACCAUUUUCAGGCACUGUGUGAUCCCUAGGAAAGUGGCAGGCCUCUCUGUAACUGUUAAUAGUGCAUGCUCGGCCAUGUACACUGUAAAUAGCCUUUACCAAACGUGUUUGACAAGGACCAUAAUUAACAUCACUUUAGUAAAUUGUGAUUUUUUUAAAAAAAGCCAUGAUUUAUUGAUGUGAGUGGCUUGUUUUCAUGUGGCGCCAGAAAUGAACCUGUUUAAAAGCUAUAACCAAUGGUACUGAUCUAUCCAUUAAAUACUGUCCUUAAACUGUAGUUUAAUAGUAUUGUCAACUAGGAAAGCUAAAAUGGUUUUUGUUCUGUUGAAGACUGGCCUUAUUAAUGGACAGCUUUCCUCAGAAGUGAUUAACAACUUUUUUAUUGGGUGUUAACAUCUGUUUCAAGAACAUGGCAGUAUGUUUACAUGUCGUCAGAAGUUUUCUUUGAAUGGAAUUUCUAAAUUAAUUUACUUGUUUAAAUAAAUUCAGAACUGGGUAGCAUUGUUUUUAUUUGCUUCACUAUUGAGGUGAAUAAGAGCUGAUGUGCCACAAAUGGAGCCUUCAGAUGGCUGCUUUGAGCUUCGUGUUCCCUCAGGGGAUGCCAAGAUAUGUCUCAAGGAGAGAUUAAUGAGGGGUUUGUAAUUACAGAGUGUGCCAAGGUCAGUGCUCACAAGUUUAAUUGAACUCUCUCAACUCUACCUCACUGUUCCUUUUCCUUAUAAUUCUCUGGGCUAGGUCAAAUCAGAAACUUUAUUUUUCGGUUCAGUAUCUCCCGAUUCAAUCACUUGUAGGAGGUGGUAACUACACUUAGCAGUAAGAAUAUCACCUUUUUGAAGAGAUGUGUAUUAUGGGAGUGGAAGCACAGCGAUACACUGGGUAGGUCAGUGUGGAAGUCGCCUCUGUGCCUUCCUUCUCGCUGGCUUGUGAGCCAGGCCCCCCUCCCCCCCAACCCCCACGCCGGUAGAAGGAGGCAGGUAUAUGAGUCAAAAUCCAGUUCUCUUAAAAUCGUUGCUCUUUACCUCUCUAUAGAUCUUUGUGUGGCAGGGCAGUGAUUUUUUUUUUUUUUUUUUUGUCACUGAACAGAGGAACUGGCUUCUGUCAUCAACUCAGAAAACUCUGAUGCCACCUGUUUCCCUGAAAUAGGCUCUCUGAAAAGCCUUUCUGUUGUGGAGCAGGGCGUGGCCAUGUCAGAGUUCUCCAACUGCAUUAUACCUAUACCCUAAAUUGAGAAACAAACAGUUGAGAGAGUCCAAAAAUAAAAGUUGAAAUAUCAUUGAUGUAAUUACCAUGUUUCAUUUGUGCAUGCAUUUUAUUGGGGAUGGGAGGUUGGAAUAAUUUAUCCAAAUCUAAUGGUAUUAUUUCAUAGGCUAAUCCAGUUUGUAUUUGAGUUAAAGAUCCCAGAGUGUAGUAAUUAAUUGCAGCGUUUGGUUUUUCUUAAUUAAAAGUAGUCCUCUAUUAAUAUAGUGUGAAAUAUCAAAAUUUAGGAUUUAAGUUUAAGGUCUAAUGGCUAUUUUAAAGUUUUUCUGUAAAUUCUUUGCACAAACUAGAAUUGGAAUUGCUUUCAAAAGACUUGGGGAAUGAAAAUAUGUCAUGUGUAAGAUGCACUGAGUGUUGUAAAUAAAACAGACCAUUUUUGUUUUGUUUAAAUUGUUACAUUCUCUGUGGGAAGGGACUUUGUCCUUUUGUUGUGGUCUAAUAAGAUAUC
Molecule: long non-coding RNA, 2241 nt
Filed under: Mus musculus (house mouse)
Lineage: Eukaryota; Metazoa; Chordata; Mammalia; Rodentia; Muridae
Description: long non-coding RNA chr15:34141354-34143595
Source: RNAcentral